UGCAAGUCGUACGCUUCUUUUUCCACCGGAGCUUGCUCCACCGGAAAAAGAGGAGUGGCGAACGGGUGAGUAACACGUGGGUAACCUGCCCAUCAGAAGGGGAUAACACUUGGAAACAGGUGCUAAUACCGUAUAACAAUCGAAACCGCAUGGUUUUGAUUUGAAAGGCGCUUUCGGGUGUCGCUGAUGGAUGGACCCGCGGUGCAUUAGCUAGUUGGUGAGGUAACGGCUCACCAAGGCCACGAUGCAUAGCCGACCUGAGAGGGUGAUCGGCCACAUUGGGACUGAGACACGGCCCAAACUCCUACGGGAGGCAGCAGUAGGGAAUCUUCGGCAAUGGACGAAAGUCUGACCGAGCAACGCCGCGUGAGUGAAGAAGGUUUUCGGAUCGUAAAACUCUGUUGUUAGAGAAGAACAAGGAUGAGAGUAACUGUUCAUCCCUUGACGGUAUCUAACCAGAAAGCCACGGCUAACUACGUGCCAGCAGCCGCGGUAAUACGUAGGUGGCAAGCGUUGUCCGGAUUUAUUGGGCGUAAAGCGAGCGCAGGCGGUUUCUUAAGUCUGAUGUGAAAGCCCCCGGCUCAACCGGGGAGGGUCAUUGGAAACUGGGAGACUUGAGUGCAGAAGAGGAGAGUGGAAUUCCAUGUGUAGCGGUGAAAUGCGUAGAUAUAUGGAGGAACACCAGUGGCGAAGGCGGCUCUCUGGUCUGUAACUGACGCUGAGGCUCGAAAGCGUGGGGAGCAAACAGGAUUAGAUACCCUGGUAGUCCACGCCGUAAACGAUGAGUGCUAAGUGUUGGAGGGUUUCCGCCCUUCAGUGCUGCAGCUAACGCAUUAAGCACUCCGCCUGGGGAGUACGACCGCAAGGUUGAAACUCAAAGGAAUUGACGGGGGCCCGCACAAGCGGUGGAGCAUGUGGUUUAAUUCGAAGCAACGCGAAGAACCUUACCAGGUCUUGACAUCCUUUGACCACUCUAGAGAUAGAGCUUCCCCUUCGGGGGCAAAGUGACAGGUGGUGCAUGGUUGUCGUCAGCUCGUGUCGUGAGAUGUUGGGUUAAGUCCCGCAACGAGCGCAACCCUUAUUGUUAGUUGCCAUCAUUCAGUUGGGCACUCUAGCAAGACUGCCGGUGACAAACCGGAGGA
Molecule: ribosomal RNA, 1142 nt
Filed under: Enterococcus faecium
Lineage: Bacteria; Bacillati; Bacillota; Bacilli; Lactobacillales; Enterococcaceae
Description: bacterial SSU rRNA
Rfam family: Bacterial small subunit ribosomal RNA
Source: RNAcentral